This 301-nucleotide ribosomal RNA is filed under the name uncultured bacterium. RNAcentral describes it as "partial 16S ribosomal RNA". It matches the Rfam family "Bacterial small subunit ribosomal RNA", at positions 509 to 807 of the family's 1533-position model. The record is from RNAcentral.
CAGUCGCCACGGGAAUACAGAGGGUGCGAGCGUUAAUCGGAUUUACUGGGCGUAAAGCGUGCGUAGGCGGCUUCUUAAGUCGGAUGUGAAAUCCCUGAGCUUAACUUAGGAAUUGCAUUCGAUACUGGGAAGCUAGAGUAUGGGAGAGGAUGGUAGAAUUCCAGGUGUAGCGGUGAAAUGCGUAGAGAUCUGGAGGAAUACCGAUGGCGAAGGCAGCCAUCUGGCCUAAUACUGACGCUGAGGUACGAAAGCAUGGGGAGCAAACAGGAUUAGAUACUCCCGUAGUCCCUGUCUCUUAUAC